CUCAGAACUUCUAUUGGACUUAGAGGAAAGAUAUUUGUCAUGACAAGCUGAUGAUUCUAAAAGAGCCACACCACUGUCCAAGAAGUGGAAAUGGGAGCACUUCAAUGAGGACCCAAAGGACUUGUGUUCUGUGUGAAUUCUAUCAAGCAGCAUAGAUAGAAGGGAAUUGAGAAUUUGGCAGUGAAAAGAUGAAGUAGAUGACAUAUCUUUUCCAUUGCUGUAGAAUGUACUAAUUAGAUCCUAGAAGCUUCUGCAUCUGAGAUACUUCUUUGAUUUCUUUGAUCCAGCAGAGGCUCUGAGUUUCCUACGUAUGUCUGGAGCCUUCCUAAUCACUAUCAUCUUCAACUUCAGUGUCUUCUGUACUGCCAUACUCAAGUAUAUUCAUUUUUUGGAGCCACCAAUUUUUUUUUAUGAUGCUGUGAUGGUAUCUUUGCUGUCUUAGGAUGAAGCCUGCAACUACAAUGCUUUCCUUUAUCUUCCAUGCCAAGCCAGAGACACAGGCAGAGGGAGAAGCAGGCUCCAUGCACCGGGAGCCCCACGUGGGAUCCGAUCCCAGGUCUCCAGGAUCGCGCUCUGGGCCAAAGGCAGGCACCAAACCGCUGCGCCACCCAGGGAUCCGUAUGCCAAGCCAUUGUAAUCCAGUUUCUGGAUUUGACUUGAGCUUUUUAAUUGGUGCUCUCAAUAACUCAUCCCAUUCUUUUAACACUCUCACUUUCUCUAAGAUAAAUGAAUAGAAGUUAUUUUUAAUCUAGAUCUCUCUACUUUGCAUUGCUGGUGAAUUUUUCUCUAUGUGACAGUUUCAACUGAAAUGUUUUCUGUAAAAGGGUAUAAUUUUUAGUCAGUAUAAAAAUUAUCUUUUGCUUUCUACUCCAUCCUUUAUUUUUCUUUUGAAAUGCAACUUAUUUGAAAUUUCAACACUUUUGUAUACUUUUUGCUAAACAAUGGUAGGGAAGAGUACAUGCUUCAUAUUCUCUGUAGUUCUUACUCAUAAUUUUAUAGAAGGAAUAAAAUUAUAAUUUAAGAAGAAAAUGCCA
This 1034-nucleotide long non-coding RNA is filed under the name Vulpes vulpes (red fox). RNAcentral describes it as "lncRNA (ENSVVUG00000000073.1)". Lineage: Eukaryota; Metazoa; Chordata; Mammalia; Carnivora; Canidae. The record is from RNAcentral.